Acanthopagrus latus (yellowfin seabream) is the source of this 3854-nucleotide long non-coding RNA. RefSeq lists it as uncharacterized. The transcript has 5 exons. Lineage: Eukaryota; Metazoa; Chordata; Actinopteri; Spariformes; Sparidae. The record is from RefSeq and is a predicted model, not a curated record.
AGACCAGGCAGGAUGAGGGGAGAGGGGGUGAGCAGCCAGCUUAACACACUCCACCCUCUGCGUCACGCUGGAGUGUGUGCUCAGGGCUACACAGGUCUGAUUAACAACGGCUCAGUGGCUCUUUCUGUACCAAUAAACCGCCCACAUCCCUUUUUCCUCCCUCUCUCUCUCUCUUUUUCUCCCUCUCCCUCUUGUAUUUCUCCGGCCACCUCACCGGCUAUUUCCCUCCAAACACGUUGUACUUUUUGUUUUCCUGCCGUAUUUGUGCUCCGAGAACUCUGGGGUGACUCACCUCCACCCGGUGACUGACAACAUGUCUUGGACUUCAGCGAGCUCAUUAGGAUUCAGAGGCAUCACUGACACGGCUGCCGUGACGUCAGUGUCUCUGUGGAAACUCAUUCGGGGGGAGCAGGGUCAGAUUCACAUUCUGCCACGAUCACGUUACCAUUCAUCCCGUCAGCUUGUCAGACACCACACUUGGAAUAAUUUUGUCGUAUAUUCUCGUAAUAAGCAGAAUUGUUGUCCUGUGACUGUACAUGAUGAACAGUCUGGAACACCUGCAGGGAACAAGUAUGGGAGGAAAAAUUCAGACUGCAGCACAAGGUGACAAAACACCUGACUGGCUCUCUAAUGUGUGUUUAAUUGUCCAAACCGGAGUCAUAUUGUAUCAGAACGCCUGCUAGCUCAUGUGAGCAGGGGGGAGGAUUUUCAGCAUCAGAUUAGCAGCCUGACAAACCUGCUCUGCGAUAUACACAAGUGGACAUGGGUUUUAUUACUCUAUAAUCACCUCGACUGAGCCGGGCGGAGGCUGAGACACUCUCCUCCCCGGAGAGACGAGGGAUGAUGAGCCCGUCUCCUCGCUGACAUUAUGUUUGGACAGUCGGGGUUGCUCAUUCUCAUAUAUAGUGGCGGAGGAAGAUUAUAAUUAUCUAAAGUGCUGUCCUCACGCUCAGGGUACACGGUGUUACAUGAGAGAAAUUACACAUUUUCGAUACCAAGCUGAGUGAUUGCAUUACGCAAAACAGUGUGAUAAGAUGUUUAUUGUUUAAAAGGGCCCAAUUAUGUCAAUUACAGCAUCUUCAGCCUGAGAUCUGCGACUGUUUGGUUAAAAAUAUGGUAAUUUCAUUUGCAUUUGUUGAGCGCUCAAACUGGCAGAUUCACUGCGGCGGGAACUGCUGCCUGCUCAGCUUCAUAUUGCGUUGGGUAGCUUUUGGCUGACAACAACUUACAACAGUAGUGUUGUAAAAGAUCCUCUGAGCUUGUUUCCCUACCUCAUACAUAAUGUUCCCUUAAUGUGUAAUUGUAUCACUAUAGCAAAUAACUGCUAUCUAGUUGAUCAAGAACAUUUUUAUUUUGCCAGAUGGCCGCGACAUCUAUGCUAUGCUCCACAAGACCACCGUUGAUGGCUGGCGAUGGCUGCGAUGUUUUAAUCAGUCAUUGUAGAUUCCGGUCCGCGUGCACUGGUGCAAGACCAAUUUCCCUUCAGGACAAUGAAGUUCAAGUUGGAGCUGCAACAUAACGAGCACUGCUCUUGAUGCCCUGCCAUCUUUGUUGUAACUUGAAUACAACAUCAAUUUGCUAUUGCGGCAACAGUUCGAUGCUUUUCUCCGCUUCACUUCAUGUAGUAUUGCAAAUCUCCAACUUACUGUAAUUGCUUCUGCUCUAGAUGAGGAUGUUAAGACACUGUAAUUGAGCAGCUCUUUACUUACAUAAGGUCUAUAAGGAGCCACAUAAACACGUCCGUCAGAUCAGCAGCGUCAGUUUCCAUGGUGACGUUACCCAACAGGCGGUACAGCAGAUUGAUCACCUCUCUGCCUCAAAUUCGAGUGGCGUGAACAAGAAAACUCAAGCAGUCUGCUCAGUUGUCCCCAAAUACUGAACAGCUGUUUGCAAGACACAACCCUAUCAGCAAAUUGUGGUAAUUAGCCAGGAACGUCUGCGAUCAUGUACUUCCUGUGUGGAUGACGUCAGCUCUGGUCGCGCCGGGAUGAAAUGACUGGGCUCUCUGUGCUUGUCAGAGCCACUCGGAACAGCAGAGAAUCAAAGGGAAAUUCAAGAAUGCAGAAUCAGAGCGUGAAACCCAGAAAGGGCAGCAGCUGAUUUGCCUUCAUCUUGGCGAGAUGUACACGUCUGUAACAGCGUCCGGAUGACUGCUUCCUUUGAUGGAUAUGCAGGCUGAUGGAGAGAUGCAGGCCAGUGCAACAGAGACGAUGCUGUCCAAUGGCCUCUCUGUUAAGUGUACAAACACACUCAUACACACACACACACACACACACACACACACACACACACACACACACACACUGGCAACAGGAAAACAAUCCUCUUUAAAGUGUCAGUCUGAACUGUAGGGGCACAGCAGGUCUGGUACCCCUGCUGUGGGUGCUGGCCUCAUUUCCACUGCUCAUUUCCUGCCCUGGGCACUACCUUCCUACAGCCCCUCCGUGACUUCUGUGUCCAUCCAAAAAAAAAUGCCCACCUCCUGUUUUAUUCUGCUCUGCGUAACACACUACUAUCUUGGAUUAACACAGUGAGAACAAUAGAUCUGACUGAAAAACUGAGUAUCAAAACAUUAGUGCUGCCCAAAGUGGGGCCCAUGGGCCAAAGUCAGCCUGUCAUGAGGUCUGAUUUGGCCUGCCAGAUGUUGCUACUGGAAAUUUUAUUUUGUAUAAUCUGAGCAUGGCGACCAGAUUGACUUUGGGGGUCAGUGGAUUAAGGGUAUUUUGGAUCCAGGCACCAUUUGUGCAUCAAAAAAAAAUAAAACAUGAAUUACAUUAAAUUUUGUUUUAAGGCCCUCCAAAUUAUCAUCAUUAGCAAAACAUUGUGUGAUUUACCUUUUGAAUUUAAGGAUUUGCUGCUUUUCUGUGUUACUUAUGAUAGUAAAUCAUGAGUUUUGGGGGUGUUGUCACCAAUUUAAACAGUCUAGGCUCUGGAAAAUGUUAAAAAGUAUUUUUUACAUACUUUGUAUUUAUUUUUAUACAUUAAAUAAUAAAUUGGAAAUGACUAAUAUUGGUAAGUUGCAGCCCUACUUGUGAUCCUUAACCAAGCAUUGUCUGCCUGUGACACCUGCUCACAUGUUGAAGCUAAAAUUCUGUUUCCUAUCUUGUUAUUGACUGACACCUCAGAAUUAUUAUACGACCCCUUGGCAGGUCCAGAACUCCCCCUUUAGUUUCUUGUCUCAGCUAGUUUCUUUCUUCAUCUAUCUCAGUUUCUCUGACAUUUCAUCCAUCAUGCCAGCUCAUCCUGUCGGAUGUUCAAUGUCUACCAGGAUUGUUACCACAGUUAAGUUGCCAGACAACGCUGACAGUUACAAAAGUAAAGCUUUCAGCUGCUGCCAAAGUGUUUUGACUUACAGUCGAUGGACCCGUCCAGUCUCACCUCCGUCUAGCUGCUGUCAGGAUACGGCAGCUUGCCAAAGGCAGAAACACCACCGACAGAAAAAGGUCCUGCUGGCUAAGAGAAACUGUCUGACCAAUCGAGUGUUUUACAGAAACAACUCUGAAACAACUUUGAAAGGAGUCUCUGGAUUGACUGCUCGGCCAAAUUGUUCUCUGCGGAUGAAAGAGCGCACGCGUCAUGUCAUCUGUCGUACUGAAUAGACUUGAAGCUCCUGUAACAGUAUGGAGUCAGUCAUUUAAAAACACUACAUUAGUCUACUGGUGCUGCUGCAUUGCAGUUCAAUUUUGUUUUUUGCCAGCUGAGAGGUCUGCACAGUGUUCACAUUACCUUGAAAGUCUGACUCAUUCCUCAGGCUGCGGUGCUGUCUGACUUGCAGGGCAACAUGAGAGCUCAGAGAUGGCAUUAGCACAGGAAAUGGACAGGUAGUAUUUACAGACAUGGCUUUAGAAGGCUGG